CGGGAGCAGAAAACGGUGACAUGAAAAUAAGGAGUCGACACAGGAUUCCAAGGGCAAUCAUCGCCAUAGCACUGUCACCAUGGUACCUUAUUACUUUAUGGAGGAGAGACAGGAACACCGCUGGGCAUAGAAGAGAAUGGACUGGGAGAGUAGUCAGGGUCGAGGGAAAGACAAACGGAGCAAAGUAAAGAGAGAUCCUUGAUGAAAAUCUGCCCCAGAGCACGGACCACAGACUGGGGUGAAGGUUUACCUUCCAACAGGACAACGACUCUAUGCACACAGCCAAGACAACGCAAGGGUGGCUUUGGGACAAGUCUCUAAACGUCCUUGAGUGGCCCAGCCACAGCUCGGACUUGAACCCGAUCAAACAUCUCUGGAGAGACCUGAAAAU
Oncorhynchus tshawytscha (Chinook salmon) is the source of this 391-nucleotide long non-coding RNA. The record is from Ensembl. Lineage: Eukaryota; Metazoa; Chordata; Actinopteri; Salmoniformes; Salmonidae.